UGGGGAAUAUUGCAUAAUGGGCGCAAGCCUGAUGCAGCCAUGCCGCGUGUAUGAAGAAGGCCUUCGGGUUGUAAAGUACUUUCAGCGAGGAGGAAGGCGUUGUGGUUAAUAACCGCAACGAUUGACGUUACUCGCAGAAGAAGCACCGGCUAACUCCGUGCCAGCAGCCGCGGUAAUACGGAGGGUGCAAGCGUUAAUCGGAAUUACUGGGCGUAAAGCGCACGCAGGCGGUCUGUCAAGUCGGAUGUGAAAUCCCCGGGCUCAACCUGGGAACUGCAUCCGAAACUGGCAGGCUAGAGUCUUGUAGAGGGGGGUAGAAUUCCAGGUGUAGCGGUGAAAUGCGUAGAGAUCUGGAGGAAUACCGGUGGCGAAGGCGGCCCCCUGGACAAAGACUGACGCUCAGGUGCGAAAGCGUGGGGAGCAAACA
This 427-nucleotide ribosomal RNA is filed under the name uncultured bacterium. RNAcentral's name for it is "partial 16S ribosomal RNA". It matches the Rfam family "Bacterial small subunit ribosomal RNA", at positions 355 to 774 of the family's 1533-position model. The record is from RNAcentral.